UACGUAGGGUGCAAGCGUUGUCCGGAAUUAUUGGGCGUAAAGAGCGUGUAGGCGGCCCGAUUAGUCCGCUGUGAAAGUCCAGGGCUCAACCCUGGAAUGCCGGUGGAAACUGUCGAACUAGAGUCCGGAAGAGGCGAGUGGAAUUCCUGGUGUAGCGGUGAAAUGCGCAGAUAUCAGGAGGAACACCAAUGGCGAAGGCAGCUCGCUGGGACGGUACUGACGCUGAGACGCGAAAGCGUGGGGAGCAAACAGG
RNAcentral lists this ribosomal RNA (253 nucleotides) under uncultured bacterium. Its description in RNAcentral is "partial 16S ribosomal RNA". It matches the Rfam family "Bacterial small subunit ribosomal RNA", at positions 524 to 776 of the family's 1533-position model. The record is from RNAcentral.